AUCAACCUCUUUUUGCUUUCAACGUCUUUGCCUCUUGGGUCACAUUCUCGUUCAAUUUUAACACCCAUAAUAGUAUCUCUCUACACACAGGUUAGUUGUCCACAAUUUUCACCCAAUCCGGUUGACGGUACGUUCUUACAACUGCUAGCUAAAUCUUUGCUCAAGAUCCAAAGUUCAUCAUCUAAUCUCUCAUGCAUACUGUUAUAUCUUACUUUUUCUGAGCAGGGGAGCGAUGCUUGAACUCUAAUGGCAGAAUUAGUCAGUGCUGCGAUUGUCCAGGAGACAGUUGGCCAAAUCCUAUCUGGUCUAGGUCAAAAAUAUGAGGAGAAAGAGGAAUCAAAUGAGAAAAGAAACUUGGAGAGGCUAGAGAUGGCACACAUCAGGCUGGAGGCUGCUCUUGAGACAUCUAAUAAGUGGCAGAUCACUGAUGCAUCCUUAUUGCGUUGGCGUAGGAAGCUGAAGCGUGCUGCUCAAGAGUGUGAUGACACACUGCACAAAUGCAAGCAGAGAAUCCUAGAAGACGAACAAAUGGAACGGGAGGUAAAGAAUUCCUCCCUCCCUAACCGUAUUGUGCAUGCUACCAAGUCAUUUGCUCUCUCCAUAUUUAAACGUAAUGACAAUGACUUGAGAAGAUCUAUUGCUCAAAGAUUUGAGUGGUAUGCAGAUGGUGCUAGUGAGUUUCUGAGAUUCAUAGAGCUUGGUGGCACACCACGCCGUCACAUUCCCUUUGAAUCUCUUGUCAGAAACCUUUUUGCAGGCAAGGAACUACAUCAUAAAAUUGUUCGGGGGAAUGAGUAUCCUUUGUUUCAAUUAUGGUUGACUCCCAUCCGUAAUCCAGUGCAUGGAAUAGAUGUUAGCCUAACAUUUAUCCAGUAUGACGGUACACCGGAGGGUAAUAUCUGCUUUAGUUUGGUCGUACAGCUCUCGGAGAGUAUAGACAUAGUUGGGAUCGCAGUUAAGUGCCUCCAGUUAUUUGCCCCUCAUUUCAAGUGUAAAUUUGAAAAUAUUAGAAAUGAACUUACUCAACUGCCCAAUGAAGACUUCUUAUGGGGGCCCUCUUUUUAUUCGGACCAUAAAGAACAUUGGGACAAACUCAAUAGAUUGUCCUCUCAGUUGGUUCGGCCAAACCCAUUUUGUUGCAAGGAGUAUGGACGGCAUGAGGUUCAACAUUUUAGCAGCAUGGAUAUGGCAGGAUUAUCAGAUGGUUUGCUAGAACCAGUAAUUCAAUUUACUUUGCAUUGCCACGUCUCACUACCUAUGUACAGAAAAAAGAAGACCUCACAUUCUGAAGACCUAAUUUCUCUGCAAGAUUGUCCAUAUCUGAAAGCUGGGAUCGCCUUUUCGCCCCAUGGCUCUUUAGAGGACAUGCUGCCAGCGAAUAGGAAUUCUGAGAUAGCGGCGAUAGUCCGCAAGGAGCAACAUUUCUUGCAUACAGACAUUGCCCUGGAACAGCUAGAAGAGAUUAUGCUGCCAAAGGCAAUAGAUUACUUCCACCAGAAUGCCGAAGCAAUGGUUUACCAAAUGCUUUGGAAGUCUAAACAUGGCUUUGCACUUAUUCAGGUUGAGAAGCCAUGCAUGAGCACAUGGAGAUCAAGCAUGAGAAGACAGAGCACUUCUGGGGGAGCUAGGAAAAGAAAGCUGUUGCAAGGAGAUGAUGAAGAGCUCAUUAGGAAUCGGAUACGUCUCUGUCACUGGCUUGACUCAUGGUUUACACAUGUGCCUGUCCGGUUGCAAAGGUCGCUCAUGAAUUGGAUUCGGAAAGAAAAAGAACUAUUGAUAGCAGCACCACAGUUACACCUAAAAUUCUAAAUCAUUUCAUUAAAGAAGAAGAGGGUAAAGAAAAACAAAACCACAACAGCUCUGGGAUCUACAAGUGCUAUGUUCUACAUUAGGAACCUAUGCAACUGUAGCACAUCACUUGUUCUUGGUUUCAAUUUGUUUGUCUUGUAUGUAUGAUGUUUGGUUCUCACCAGUUGAGUAUACGCUAGGAAUUACUCAAUUACAUGGGAGAUCAGAAUGCAGUGCAUUUGUAAGCGUAGACUUAUAAGUGCAGGAUCAUCACUUGUUCUUAUUUUCUAUGACUUUCGAGUGUGUAGCUACUUUCGUUAAGAACUUUUCAGUAAUUGGGCCGUUUUGCAUCCUUGUGAGCCGAAGUUGCAGUCUGAAUAUGUUUCAAUCCCGGAACAUGUUCUCGGCCUCUUUUUUGUGUAUUGGAUGGAUACGGUUUUGGUCAGGGGAUUUCCUUUUGGUAAAAAAGGAAAAAGAAAAACAAAACUGUAGUUGCCAAAAUGUUUCAGUUGCUCGACCAAAGUCAGUCAAAGAAUCGAUUGCUAGGACAGUGUUGACCAUGCGCAGACAACUUGACAUGCCUCAAUGAAUGGACUCGUGCUGUCCCUAGCACACUUCUUCAAGGCUAGGAAAUGGGAUGCAUAGACGAAAUAGUGGAGACUAGGAGAAAGGCAAGCUGUCGCCGAUGAGGGUGUCUGGUGAGGGGUGGGUGCAGUCGAGUUCCUUCCUUGUACGAUGAUGCAUAGAUGGGGAGAUGUUCAUAGCUUUAUAUUUGUUUCAUUCUCCAGUCCUCCUCAGCUAUCCAACCACUCUCCGUAUGAUUUCCCACGCAGAUGUUGACCACGUAAGAUAAUGCCUGUUGGGCAAUUAUAUAUACAACAGAUGACAAGUACUCAAAUAAAAAGUGUCAUGUUGCUGUUAAAGUCGACAAUAUAUAAACUAAGGCGACUUUAAGUCAAGGAACAAUCCUUCUAUAUAUGUCACAUUCUUUUCCUAGCAAUCUCCAUGCUUAACUAAUCAAACUCAUGGCAGGAUUAUCAGAUGUUUUUUUUUGAAUGAACAGGCACGAGAGUGUGUCUAUUUCAUUGAUUGAGCAGGAGUUUACAUGAAAAAAAUAAAACCAAAACAGGAAAACACGGUGUGCCAUUUGGCGAGCUAUGCGAGAAGUUAAGGGACUACUCUCGUGCUAGAAGUAACGCUAGGUCUUUCGCCCCCGCCACUAGCCAAGCUGACCCCUCCUCCCUGAUUUUUGCCAUAAGCAUCGUCGUUGAGCUCUCGUGUCUGUUGAAGGCGCGCGUGUUCCGUUCUUUCCAAAUCUCCCACACGAUGAGUAGAGUUGGACUUCUCAGAGCCUUACUCGGUGAAUCCGGUGUCAUAGUUAUAUAAGUCCACCAUUGCAUUGUGUUGGAUGAGGGCCGCCAUCCAUUUGGCCUGAGGCUUGGCUGCUAUCCAUGUCGCCGUUAGAUCCCAGAUUCUCCUGGUGUAUUUGCACUCGGCCAAGAUGUGGUGGCUAGUCUCCAUGGUUCGUCUGCAGAGGGUGCAAGUAGCGUUGUGCGGCCAUCCAUGUUUGGCCAACCUGUCCACGGAUCAUACGCGGUUUUGUGUAAUUAGCCACAUGAAGAAUUUACAUUUUGGUGGCACCCAUGUUUUCCAGAUUGAUGAGAUAUUCGGUGUUUCGGUGCAGUCCAGGAACUGUGCUUUACAUGCCGAUGUUGUUGUAUACAUGCCUGAUUUUGUUAGUUUCUAGUUGAUAGUGUCCUUGUUUCCUGGAUGAAGUUUCGUCUGUCUGACCAUGUUCCAUAAUAGGGCGAAAGAAGCUAAAUGUAAAAUGUUGAUGUUACUAUUGAUGUUGAGGUCUCGGAUCCGGUUAGUGUUACUGAUGGCUUCGUGAACCAUCCUGUUGUUUCUCCUUGAAAUGGUGAAGAGUAGUAGUGCAAUGUCUUUUGGUCACUGGCCCUGCAACCAGCUAGACUUCUAGAAGCUGGCUUUUUUGCUGUCACCGAGGGUGAUGAUCAUGCAGGCAGCAAAUAGUUGUCUAUCCGUCUCGUCGCAUGGGGUUUCUAUGUUGGUCCAAGGUCUGUCCGAUGAUGUCCACUCAUGCCAUAGCCACCUCAGGCAGAGGGCUCUGGUGAAUUUCUCAAGGUUUGGGAUGCCGAGUCCCCAAUGCUAUUUCGAGAGGCAGGUUCUCAUCCAAUUAAUUUUGCAUUUUCCACCAGUUAGUUGUUGGUCGCCCGCCUAGAGGAAUUUUUUACGGAUUUUGUCUAAGUCUUGAAGCACUUCAUUAUUUGCUUUGAGGGUUGUUAGGAAGUAUACCGGCUGCGAAGAGAGGACUGUUCAUGAGGUUUAUUCUCCCUGCAUGUGUUAGAUUUCACCCAGUCCAAGCUAAUAGUUUACCUGCCACUUUAUUUAUAAAAGGUUGGAAUUCAAUCUUUCUCAGGCGCUUUGUUGACAAUGGAAGACCAAAGUAGCGCAUUGGGAAUGUCGAUCUUGUUACCAGCAGAUCUUGAGUAGUUGGUCAAGGUCAAUGUUUUGGCAUCUUAUGGGUGCAAUCUGUGUCUUGCGCAAGUUUGUGCGUAGGCCAGUGGCUUCCCUGAAGUGUUGGAGGAUGCUCUCAAUGUUGGAGAUGUCUUUACGUGUCGGUUUAAUAAAGAUGGCAGCAUCGUCAGUGUACAAAGAUGCUCUUCCUCCUAGCUUGGUGAGGAGGCUCCUGUCGGUUGCCUGAGCAAUAAUGUGCUGUAGUGGAUCGAUGGCCAGGAUGAAAAGAAGAGGUGAUAGCGGGUCACCCUAUCUCAGACCUCUGCCAUUCUGGAUCGGUGGCAAACGUGUGCCGUUGAAUAGCACUUUUGAAGUCGAGGUAGCAAGGAGGGACAUAAUCCAUUGGCUCCAUCGAGUUGGGAAGCCUUUGUGUUGCAUCAGGGAGAUGAGGUAGUCCUAACGAACUAAGUUGAAGGAUUUGGAGAUGUCUAAUUUCAUUAGUAGGGCCGGAGUUGCAUUUCGAUGGAAACGACGGGCGAUAUUUCUCACGUAUAAGAAGUUGUCAUGAAUACUUCUACCCUUGAUGAAGGCGCUCUGGCAGGGCGAGAUGAUAGCGUUCAUGUGCGGGGCGAAACCCAGCGCUAGAACUUUAGUGAUGAUGUUUGCAAACGCAUGGAUGAGGAUGAUUGGCUGAUACUCCAGGAUGCUUUCGGCACCUUCUUUUUUCGGAUUAGGAUGAUGUUUGAAUUUUUUAGGAGAUUAAGGUCGUUGCAACGGAUGUUGUAAAAAGCGUUAGCUACCGUCAUUAGGUCUCCUUUAAUGAUGUUCCAGCAUGUCUUGAAGAAGAGCCCUGUGAAGCCAUCCGGGCCUGGUGCUCGAUUGUGCGGAAGCUGUUUAAUGGCAUGCAAGAUCUCAAUUUCGUCAAACGGGCGGUCUAGGUCGGAUAGAUCCACCUGAGUGUGAUGUAGGUUUUCCCACCGCAGAUCUCGUGAACGUUGUUGUGGGGUCGUCAUUAUUGGAGAAGUGGUCGUGAACGAUGUCUUGCUUGUCUUGGUGUGAGAGAGCCCAUCCCAUGUGAGUUCUUGGCCAUUGUAUGAAGUUCUUUCUUUUAUGUGCGUUGACCUUAAGGUGGAAGUAUCGUGUAUUCGCAUCUCCCUCCUGAAGGUUUUUGAUACGCGAUGAUUGUCAUUUCCUUGCUUGUUCAAUUACCGCCCAACCCAGAAUACGUUUUUUGAGUUUUGCUCUCAGAGCGAAUUCUACAUCUAAAAGGGGUCUAAUGUCUUGCGCCGCAUCGAGGUGUAGGAUCACCACUUUUGCCAUUUGUAGUUUUAGUUUUGCGUCUAAGAUGAUUGAAGUGCUCCAUUUCCUAAGCACCAUGGUUGUUGAGUGCAACUUUUGGCCUAGGCAGUGGAACGGUUCUGUAUGAUGCGUGGGUAGAUUCCAUGCCUGUUGCACUGUCUUUUGAAAUUGUGGCAAUUUGGUCCAAAAGUUCUCAAAUUUGAAAGGGCGUGGCCUCUGUGGUCCUAAGAGUCUUGCUAGCAGUAGUGGGCAAUGAUCAGAGUGGGAGGAGGAAAGGGUGUGUAGCGUGUGAUCGUCGAAAGCGAUGUCCCAGGCUUCGUACAAAGAAGAAGCGGUCCAGGCGCAAAAGCGUUGGCUGACGCCUUUCGCUGCUCCACGUAUAUUUGCGGUUCUGAAGGUGAAUUUCUUUGAGGCCACAGAAAUCUAGAGUACUUCAAAAGCGACGCAUUAGAGGAGGUUCAAUCUUCUGUUAUUCUUGUCCUGUGCUUUGUAGAUGAUGUUAAAGUCUCCAACGAUCAGCCAUUUAGUGUUGAUGUCGGGUUUUAUGUUUCGCAUAUGUUGUAGAAAUGUCGUUUUCAGUUCUGUCCUUGAUAGUCCAUAUACUAUCGUUAAUCUAAAUUUGGAGUUGCAUUGUUUAGCUGACACUGUUGCAGUAAUUGAGAAGUGCCCAAUCUGGAUGUUUGAUAGAUCAAUAAAGUUAGCAUCCCAUAGAAUAAGGAUUCCUCCCUUGGUACCUUGUGCCGGUUUGUAGGCGAAGUUAGACAGGCGGUAGCCUCCCAGAAAAGAAGCGAGGGCUGCGUCAAUUUGAUUUAGCUUAGUUUCUUGCAGGCACGUUAUAUGGCAUAGCGUCACUUUUAGUGUUUCAUGAACGACCAUGCAUCUCGCGGGAGCGUUAAGGCCUCGCACGUUCCAGCUGAUAGUGUCGAAGCUGCCUAUAUGCAUUCAAAAGACCGUAUGGCGCCGCAGGUUUUCAUGUAGCGUUUCUGUAAGGUGGAGCUGGAGCUGGCUGGAAGUGUCAUGCAUAGUAGUGGGGUAGGUGUGCCAGCGGCGACACGCGCGCAGGGAUAACUAGAAAUGACGUUUGCGGUUAACGUCGAUGCACAGAUAGGUGCAUUGCGCGAAGGUCGAAUCCACCAGGGCGAAAGUCGAUGUCGUGUACAGUAAGCCCGAAGGUCGAAGCCAGCAGGGCUGGUCCAGCUCCUAGCCCGAAGGUCGCAGUUAGCAGUGCGUGGAGGGCUAAAUGAAGAACAGUACGAGAGGAGUCUUGGAUACAUGGAGAGUGCUUUUCUCCAACGGUGCAAAGAUAUUGAAGCUAUCAUUCUUGAGAGAGGGCACGCUCGUUCUGGAUGUCAUCAAUUGCCUGUCCAGCGUGUUGUAGAAGUGCGUCAUUCACCCUUUCCGCUCCUUCAUCGGCGAGAUCAAACAGGGCCGUCAUUGCUGCAAUCAUGUGGUCCGGGAGCGGCCGGUGUGAGUUGAUGUACUCCUAUAGUAUUUCCUCGAUUGGGCAUAGCUCGUCAUCCGAGACACCCAGCUUGCACCACAAGUUGCACUGUGCGCGCUCCAGGGCUGGCACAGCCAGCUUCAUGUCGAGUCACGCACUUCUGCGGACCGAAGACAUGUCGAAGUUCCGGCGCGCGUGUUGACGACGUUCCGGCAGGUGCUGAAGAAUCGCCGGGGCCGGCACGGCGAAGAGGACGUCGACGGUCAAAUCCUCCUGGACGGGCGCAGGAUGUGCCGCAGUCAUGCCUAGCUCUGAAGCCAGCUCCAUGCCUGUCUAUGCAUCAGCUGCCGCGGCCAGGCCGUGCCCUGAAGACCGUUCCGUGGACAUGUGGCCGGCAGCAGCUUCUGCGGCCUGGCCCGGCCUGGUGGGCUGCUCCAUCGCUGUUAGGCCGUCGACAGCUUUCGCGGCCCGGCCCAACAUGGCCGACUGGCCGGCAGCAGCUGCGGCGGGUAGGCCCAGUCCAGACGGCCUCUCCAUGGCCAACUGGCUGGCAGCAGUUGCUACGGGCGAGCCUAGCCCAGGAGGUCGCUCCGUAGCAGUUUCAACACCCAGGCCCAGCGUAGAGAGCCGUGCGCUGAGCACAUUCCCGCCAGUAGCUGUCGCAGUCAGGCCCAGCACAGAAGGUGGGAGGGGCACCAUCUGGAGUGGCCCAGGAGACGUCGCGGCCAACCUAGGAGUCGCCGUGGCUAGCCCCUGUCCGCCAGACAGGAGGAGCCCCGGAGUCGUCCACUCCACGGCUGUCUGGCCGAUAGCAGAUGGCGCAUAAGGAGGCGAGGUGGCUGACGGCAUGGCAGCCAUCACCACGAUGGCAGCGGCCGCCUCCUUCAUUGCGACGUCGUGGCCAUCUGCCGAGGCACACAGGCUGUGCAGCUGGAGCUUGUUUAGGGCGAGGUCGACCUCACGCGUCGAUGGUGCCUCCUGUAGCGCUGCAUGGAGCCUAUAUAAGACGCGUUGUAGGGGCACCAGUUCCUCGACGGGUACAGACCAGGCCUGAUUCCCCUCCGAGCGGAGCUCCAUGUGUGACUAAGCUCACCAGUCACCAUGCCAAUAGGUCAAUGCAUGAACCUCAGCUAGCUACAAGGGCCAAAACUACUAAUGCUGGAGUGUUACCUCGUUGUCCUUGUAUAUAGAAUGAAAACAUGUCUCAUCAUGUAUGCUGGCUGGCAAAAGUAAAAAUGGAUCUCAAGGAAAUAGCACAUGGGUCCGUGCCUUCAAUUGUUCCUAUUUAGGUUAGUGUCCAUAUAUUCCAUAUAAACAUAGGAACUGUUUCACAAAAGGUUUGUGCAAAUCAAAAGAAUUUAAUUGUGUCCAAAACUGGCAUCAAUGCAAGGGGAUAUGUGUAUUUGUUCUAAAGUUGUAGUAUUGAACUUUUUGUUUUUGAAAAUCCUUACAUUAAAUGAACUUUUUUAGUUGAAGAAUAAUUUUAUGUUAUUUGAUAUGCUAUGUGGAACGCUUAGUCGUCAUAUGUUUCUUUGUGCUCUACUUUGGAGUUUGCCAGUUCCAAACUUCUGACCCUCAUUGUGCUUAUGCAGGCUCGUGAUUGCACAUACCAAAAAGAUAGAAAUGGUAGACAUGUCUUAUGGGGCAAUUUGCAACAUUAACGAGUCGACCAUGGGACCUUAUUCCUUGCCACUUGCCAGAUAGCACAGCGCCAUGGAACUGGCAGUGGCACCCACCUCCUGGCUGCAGAUGGAGAAGACGCCGCGCGCACAAGCAGGGAGGAGAGACGUUCACGCGGCUAGGGUUUAUUUCCUACUUCUAUAUUGGUAUAUAUACUAGCAAAUAUUGGUCGAUCAGAAGGUGUUUGCAGAGCAGCCAGGCCGUGUAUCAGUUUUGCGGGGUAGUCCAUCGAGCUCCUCCUCCUCUUCUUACAGAACUACCGUGGGCUGGGCCGUGUCCAGCUUCGUGGGCCGUUUCGAGUUUUCAACCCCAACACCAACAAAAAAGAAAGUCAGGACACGUCACUCGUGACACGUGUUGUCUGAGUUUAUUUUUAAUUUCCUACUAAUUUUGCUAAAAUAAAAGUCAGCCAUUCAGUGGGCGAGAAAUUCAAAUAUGAAAUACGCGUUUGUCCGUCCCACAAAGAGUAUCAAAUUAUACUCGAGUUUAUACAUCCGCACCCAUGAACAAGUUUGCAUAAGCAAACGUGUAGAGAGAGCUAAUCAAAUGAUAUAUUAUUUUCCGGUUUCAAUGCAUGACAUUUAUUUAAGAUUCAGAUAACUAAAAAGAUAGCACGAUUUCUAAUAAUAACAACUAAUUAGGAGCAAUACGAUCAUUUCUCGUGAUUACUAUUGUGUCUCUGAAUUUUUUUUUGAAAGAACACUUUAAUACGGGCCUGAUACGCACAUCAUGAUGAGUAACUUAUUAAAGUUAACAAGGACGAAAUAUGACAAGAGAUCACGCUCGCUGUGCUCCUCUUCCUCCAUAUACGUACACGGUUCACACGUUGGCCCACCGAAAAGGUGCAAGUAUUCCAAGAUUCUCAUGUACUCCAUGUGAGACUGGAAACUCGAUCGAUGCUGCCGGUGCCCCGGCCCUUUCGGUGGUUCCAACUUUUCUUCCUAAUCGCCGCUCGCAGUUUCUUUCUCACUACUUUUCUCAACGUGAUUCGUGUAACACAGCAGAGUGAUGUUGACUUGACUGGACUCAAUUGCACAAACAAUGGGCCCGUGCUUUUUUUUUUUUCUCCCAACAAGAAAGUCUUAACUCUUGAGCCGAAGCUGUGGUCUGGCCUCCAAAACCGCAGCAGAAGCUUUUCCUUCCUGCCCCCGCACGACACGCGUCUGCGUCUCCUCUCGCGCGCGUUCUGACCGCCGCGCCGACCAAACCACUACAAAACGAGCGCGCACGACGCCGCGUCGCCCCCAACUCUCGCCGACAGAACGGAGACGACGACGUCCAGGAUCGUAAUCGUGUUGUUUGUGUGUUGGCACACCUCCGAUCCGGGCGAGGUCUUGGAGGUUCUUGACAGCUCGUCAGCCGGCUCGCAGGCACGAGGUCGUUGCCCCCGAGAUGUCGAGCGUGCUCGGCGGCGGCUUGUCACCGGCGGCGGUGAUCAUGCGGGGGCGGGAAGCGAUCCUCCAGGCCCUCGGCUCGGUCUCGCCGGGCUCAUCAUCAUCACCAGCCGCCGCGCAGGGCGAGCGAGGCGACGACGUCCGGGCCGGGGCCGCGCCGCCGCGGCGUCACGCCCCGGAGGAGGAGGACGGCGCGUCGCCGCAGGACGCAGCUAGCGGGUCCAAGCAGCAGGGGAUGAAGGACACGGGGACGGGCGACGGCGACGCUGGUGCGGUUGCGGCCGGCUCGUCGCCGCCGGGUCGUCUCAGCGCCGAGACCGCUGUGGCCAUCCUCGUCGACUGCUUCGGUCAUUGCUGACAACUGAGACAUCAUCAUCAUGUCAUGACAUCAUCCUCCUCACGCGGAUCCAGACAUCCAGUCGGCAGUCGCCCCCGUUUGACUUUAGUGUAUAUACUACAUGUAUCUUCGUAUAUAUGUAUGCAGUAGUGGAUUAGUGGUACGGAUUUACACUUGCCUUGUACUGUACGGAUGCAUGAGAAGAGAUAUUGUAUUUCGCGAAGUGCAAAACGCUGAAAUUUGAUUGUUAUUUUUGGGAUCAAAAUGGAAGUCCCGGUUCCUCCGGGAGGAGCACAGUCAGCAGGAGAGGGAUGUUGCGGAGUUGCGGCAGGUCGGCGAGCUUGCUCGUGAGCUGGAGGCUGCCCGUCACGAGUUCUAAGACCGGGCGGCGCCAGUGGCCGAAGUCCAGGAGUGGGCGACCCUUGCCGAGCAGGGGCUCACCGCAAACCAGGCCUGCCUGGUGGAGGCCGAGACAGUGGUCGAGGAGCGCCAGGAGGCGGAGCGUGCUCGAGGGGGCGACUGCUGCCGAGUAGGCGCUGGCCGUGGCGCAUUCCCGUUUGUCAGAGAUCGAGGCAGCGGUCGGGGAGCGCCAAGAGGCGGAGCGUUGCAUGCUCGAGCGGGCGACUGCUGCCGAGCAGGCGCUUGCCGUGGCGCAUGCCCAUUUGUCGGAGAUCAAGGCGGUGGUCGGGGAGUGCCUGGAGGCUGAGCGUCACACACUUGAGCGGGCGACUGCUGUUGAGCAGGCGCUUGCCGCUUCGCCGGAGGCUUUGGGGGCAGAGCGGUCGGCCCGAGCGCACGCCAAGCAGAAGGCGCUAUCGUUGGAGCAGGAGGUCACUCGGCUACAGGAGAGGAUGGCCCAACAAGAUGAGGCCGGUCUUACUAUUGGGGAGAGCGCCCGUCUCGGUAAGUAUAUUUUUUCCCUUGGUCAUCAUUUUUGACUCUUUUUUUCUGCUUGUUGACUCGGUCUCCCGUGCCCAAAGCUGGGUGAGAAGGUUGCCCAUCUGCAGUGAGAGCUACAGCAGUCGGAGGAGGGCCGCGCCGCAGUCGUAACCACGAAGAAGGGUAAGUUUCGUCGUCUUGGGAAUUUGAGUCAGGGUUGUACCUGUUUUUGCCUUUCACCGACUUGGCUUCUUGUGCAGCUCUGGAGGCAGAUUUGAAGACGGCCCAAGCAACGGUUGUUCAUAGCGCGGAGACACUAGCCCGGUCCCUAGGGGAGCGAUCCACCAUCGAAGGAGAGCUUGAUCAACUCCGUAACAUGGCGCAGGUGGUGAUCGCUGAGGUGCUCUGGUCGGGCCUGAGCACCAACGCGCCCACCAUCUAGCUCUUGGAGAUUUUGGAUGAAGUUCGGGGGCUCGUCUCCGAUGGUGUGUUCCAUGGGGCAUUGGGAGUGCUGACGUCGGUGGCGACUCACCACCCCACCCUAGACUUCAAGGCCAUCUGCGGAGGGUACGCCAACAGGUGGAGCACGGAGGGGAUCCAGGCGCUGGGUGAGAACUUGACCUCCCCCACACACUGCCUCUGCCUUAUCCUCCUUAUCCGCACACUGCUUAGCACGGCGUAGGCCAUGGUUAGGCGAUGGUGGCGGAAGCGAACACUACUAGAGAAAUCGCCUCUUUUACCGGUCCAGUGUUGGAAAUAUUAGAGGUAGUCAAAAGGCAGAGCGAAAAGGAAGGGAUCAGGAAAAACGCCCAGGACUCUCAGACUCGCGAUUUCCACCCCGCGCCUUGAUCAAAGGCGCAACCAACUCGUGGUUGCGGCCCCAGAUCGCCCAGCACCACAAUAAAAGGGGGUCUGGCAGGGUUUUGAGGUAGUCCAACAGACGCAAAACCCACGCACGCCCCCAAUAUUGUCGUCCCGAUCCCUGGCAGUGUUGGAGCCGUCUGAAGGCAGCCGCCGUUCUACUGCUGUCGUCUCUGGCCAAACGAGAUGGAGGCCAGAAGGACGACAUGAUCUACUCCGAGCCAGUACAUCUACGACGUCCGUCAUCCCGACCUCAUCCACGAGACUGAUGGCCGGAUCAUCACAAUCUAUGGCUGCUGGUUGUGCUUCUAAUCUUUUACUAAAUGGUGUUCAUGAUCUAAAUGUUAAGAUCCUAUUUUAGUUAAGACUAAGUAAUGUAGAAUCCUACAUUUGGUAUCAAUUAAGCCAUCUCAUCUAGAUCUGAACCCUAAGAUCAAUUUCAGAUGCAAUUAGUCUUGCCGACUAGUCCUUGAUGUGCAACUAAGUCAUUUAAGUCUCUGAGUAAGAAUUGCAUGUGUCUCUAGUUGAUUAGAUCCUAAUUGUUGUGCUCAUCAGUGCCUAAAUGUGCUUAUCAGUCCGCUUUUAAUUCGGUUUUGGUCAAGUUUUCAGUCACAAUCUUGAUUAGAUCUUAGUGUGCUUAAUUGGACUUGAAGGAGCCAAAACAGUAGGUUGCAAAUGGAGUUGAAGCUGAAGUUAAGGCUGUUGGAGAUCUCACUUUAGAACUUAGCAGUAGCUUCAGACUUCAUUUAAGUAAUGUUCUUUAUGUACCGUCAAUUAAGAGAAACUUGAUUUCUAUUUCGUCAUUAGAUUGUGAUGGUUAUUCCUACAACUUUGGAAACAAUAAGUGUGUAAUAAGUUUUGAGAAUAAGAUUAUUGGUUAUGCCCCUUUGCAUGAUAAGCUUUACAUGUUGCCUCUAAGUGUUAAUUCCUCUGUGAUGAAUGUAAGCGAUGUCAACCAUAAGCGAAAGAGAAACAUUGAGACUUCGUUGAAAUUGUGGCACUUCCGUUUAGGCCACAUUUCGAAGGGGAGGAUGGAGCGUCUCAUUAGAGAAGAGAUACUUCCAAAAUUAGAUUUCUCUGACUUAGAUCAAUGUGUUGACUGCAUUAAGGGAAAACUUGCAAAACAAAUUAAAAAGGAUGGAGAUAAGCACAGUUUAGAAUUAUUAGAAAUAAUUCAUAUUGAUAUAUGCGGUCCAUUUAAUGUAAGAUUAGUGGAUGGUUAUAAUUAUUUCAUUACCUUCGCUGAUGAUUUCUCCCGCUAUGGAUAUAUUUAUCCCAUACGCGAAAAGUCUGAAGCACUUGAUAAGUUUAAAAUCUUUAAAGCUGAAGUAGAAAAUCAACAUGACUUAAAGAUCAAAGUGAUAAGAUCAGACAGGGGAGGGGAGUAUUAUGGGAAACACUCCACAUAUGAACAAAUUCUGGGACCCUUUGCCAGAUUUCUCCAAGAUAAUGGUAUCGCAACUCAGUAUUCCCCUCCUGGUGAGCCUCAACAAAAUGGUGUUGCUGAGAGAAGAAAUUGUAACCUUAUGAACAUGGUGCGUAGUAUGCUCAAUAACUCUACGCUACCAGUGAGUUUGUGGAUGGAAUCUUUAAAGACUGCCGCACACAUUAGUAAUUGUGUUCCUAGUAAAUCAAUCCCUAAUACUCCUUAUGAACUUUGGAUUGGUAGGAAGCCCAGCAUGAAUUAUUUACAUGUCUAGGGCUGUGCAGCUAAAGCUAAGAUAUUCAAUCCACAACAUGGAAAAUUAGACUUUAAAACCAGAAGCUGCUAUUUUAUUGGAUAUCUGGAAAAGUCAAAGUGGUACCGCUUUUACUGUCCUAAGCGUACCACUAAGUUUGUGGAGAUAAGGCAUGCUGUCUUCUUAGAGGAAACUGGAUGCAUUGAGGCUAGGAAAAUUGAUCUUGAGGAGAUUCGAACUUAUGAGCCGUUGCCCAUAAGAUAGGAUUAUUAUGCUCCUAUGCCAUAUACCACAGUUACAUCUCAGGUAGUGGAACCUCCAGUAAGAGAAUGGGAGGUAACACCUACCUUAAGUGAAAAUGUAGGUGCACCUGUGAUAAGUGAGCAUCAAAGUGAAGAAGAACCUGCUGGUGGAUUGCAAGGGGAGGCAACUAAUGAGCCCAAGGUGGUUCACCAAGAACCUGCUCAAGUAGAGGCACCACAGGCAGUAGCGCCAAAACCUUUGACAAGGUCAACAGUGAGAGGAAGUCCAACCUUUCCGAUGAAUAUGUGUACCUAAGUGAAGAAGUACACGUCAUGGGGAAGGUGGAUCGCCCAAACUCAUUUAAGGAAGCCAUAGGAAGUGAGCACUCGUAUAAGUGGUGCGAGGCCAUAGAAGAAGAGUUGAAAUCCAUGGAAGCAAACAGAGUAUGGGACUUAGUAGAAAUUGCUGAAGGAGCCAAAACAGUAGGCUAUAAAUGGGUCUACAAAACCAAAUAUGACUCUAAAGGGAAGAUCGAAAGGUUCAAAGCAAGACUCGUGGCUAAGGGCUUCACUCAAGUAGAAAGAGUCGAUUAUAAUGAAACCUUCUCGCCUGUCUCAAAGAAAGAUUCAUUUAGAAUCGUUAUGGCUUUAGUAGCUCAUUAUGAUCUUGAGCUGCAUCAGAUGGACGUUAAGACUGCGUUCCUUAAUGGUGACUUGCACGAGAAUGUAUACAUGAAGCAACCUGAAGGUUUCAUCUUGGAAGGCAAGGAACAUUUGGGAUGCAAACUAAGAAAAUCCAUUUAUGGAUUGAAACAAGCGUCCAGACAAUGGAUGAAGUAAUUAAGAAAAUUGGCUUCAUUGAAAAUAAGAAAGACAACUGCAUAUAUGUUAAGACUAAGGGGAGCUCUAUAAUCAUCCUAGUGUUUUAUGUGGAUGACAUCCUAUUAGCAAGCAGCGAUAAAAACUUGAUGCAUGAGACAAAGGGCUUUCUCUCAUCGAAAUUUGACAUGAAGAACCUCGGUGAUGCCGCUUAUGUCUUAGGCAUUGAGAUUCACCAAGAUAGGUCCAAAGAUGUAUUAGGACUCUCUCAAAAAGCUUACAUAGAGAAGGUCCUUGAAAGAUAUAAUAUGAGCCAAUGUUCAGGCACAGCUGCUCCAGUUGUCAAGGGCGAUAAAUUUGGGUUAUUUCAAAGUCCCAGGAAUCAAUUAGAAGUUGAUCAAAUGAGAAUGAUUCCUUAUACUUCAGCUAUCGGAAGCAUAAUGUAUGCACAAGUGUGUACACGCCCUGACUUGGUCUUUAUAAGUGGGAUGCUUGGAAGAUAUCACUCUAAUCUAGGAAUAGGCCAUUGGAAAGGAGUUAAGAAAGCCUUGCGUUACAUGCAAGGCACUAAGAAUUACAUGCUAAUGUAUAAGAGAACUGAGAAAUUAGAGAUAAUCAGAUAUUCAGAUGCUGAUUUUGCGGGUUGUGUUGACACAAAAAGAUCCACAUCAGGUUAUAUCUUCACACUUGCAAAUAGGGCUAUAUCGUGGAAAAGCUGCAAACAAACACUGACAACUGCAUCAACAAUGCAAGCUGAGUUUGUGGCAUGUUAUGAAGCUGUGGACCAAGCUAUAUGGAUUAAGAAUUUUAUCCCAGGAUUAAGAGUGGUAGACAGCAUAAGUAGGCCACUAAAAUUAUACUACGAUAAUAAGUCAGCAGUUUUCUAUUCGAAUAACAACAAGUUAAGUGAUGCUGCAAAGCACAUUGAGCUUAAGUAUCUUAUUGUGAAAGAUAGAAUCCAAGAUCACACCAUUGAGUUAUUAGAGCAUAUAAGUAUAAGAGGAUGCUUGUGGAUCCAUGGACAAAAGGCUUACCUCCCAUUAUAUUCAGUGAACAUGUUGCCGGCAUGGGAUUAUCGGAUAGCCUGUGAUCUUGGAGGGUCAUAAGACAACCAUCUCUCAUCAUGAUAGGUAGUUUUAUACAUUGUGGAUAAUUGUGUCACAGUGGGAUUUUAAUCACCAUUGUCACACAUUAUCUCCCUGCAUAAUUUUGCUUUAAGAAUGGCAUAAGUUAUAGGCGUUUAGACCAAAGGGGAGAAUGUUGGAAAUAUUUAGAGGUGGUCAAAUGGCAGAGAGAAAACGAAGGGAUAAGCAGGAAAAACGCCCAUGACUCUCGGACUCGUGAUUUCUACCCCGCGCAUUGAUCGGAGGCGCAACCAAGUCGUGAUUUCCACCCCGCGCCUUGAUCGGAGGCGCAAUCAACUCAUGGUUGCGGUCCCAGAUCACCUAGCGCCACAAUAAAAGGGGGCCUGUAGGGUUUUGAGGUAGUCCAUCAGACGCAAAACCCACACACGCCCCCAAUAUUGUUGUCCCGAUCCCUGGUGGUGCUGGAGCCAUCUAAAGGCCGCCAUCAUUCUACUGCUGUUGUCUCUAGCCAAACGAGGUGGAGGCCAGAAGAACGACGCAAUCUACUCCGAGCCAGUACAUCUACGGUGUCCGUCAUCCCGACCUCAUCCAUGACACUAAUGGUCAGAUCGUCACAAGCUUUGGCUACUGGUUGUGCUUCUAAUCUUUUACUAAGUGGUGUUCAUGAUCUAGAUGUUAAGAUCCUAUUUUAGUUAAGACUAAGUAAUGUAGAAUCCUACAUCCGAAACCCCCUCUAGUACCGGUUGUACAACCGGUACUAGCAAUCCGGUAUUAGGGGGUCCUCUAGUACUGGUUGAGAUAACCGGUACUGGAGGAUGUUAAAAAAUUAAAAAAUAAAAGAAAUUCCCCCAACCCCGCCCAUGUCACCGCCAGCCCCCGCCACCCCCUUAUCGGUGAGCCCCCUCCACCUCCCUCUGCACCCCCCCCCUCCGCUGGCCCCUUCAGCUGCCUCUUGACUCCCCCACCCAUCCUGCCACUACCGGCCCCCUCUGCCCUUCCGGCAACCACCUCCGACUCCCCUUCCGCCCCGCUCGCUCCACCCCUCCUCCGGCCCCCUUCCCCGUUGCCCCCGCGGCCGGCCCUCCUCCGUCCCCCCUCUUCCGCCGCUCCGCCCGCGGCCGGCCGUUGCUGCCGCCGCUCACCUUCCCACCUCCCCCCUCCCCCUUCCCCCCCCCCCUCGUCACUGCUCCUCAUUGCUGGUGAGGGGCUCGCGGAGGGGGAGGGGAGAUGAGGUAGUGGAAGGAGAUCUAGAGCUAGCGGAGGAAGGAAGAAGAUAGAGGAGAGAAAGAUAGCAGUGGAGGAGAGAAGCAGCCUUAGCAAGAGGAGAUAAGGUAGGGGCCGCGGGGCAGGUGAGUAAAAAAAUCUAAGUGUGCAUGCGGACGUGCGCAGGGGCGGCUUGCCUUUAGUACCGGGUGGGGGCUAAGGGGUUCCUCGGGGACUAUUCAUUAGGCCGGGUACUAACAUUAGUACCGGGUACCGGGUUAAAAAGUGAUCGGUACUCAGUCUUGGGAUGAGAGGUCAUUUUUCUUGCAGUGGAAGCAUGCACGGAGAGGUGGCGGAGGCCUCGGGAGGAUUGCAGAAACGGUGGCGGACGCUGAGGACAUUGCGACGUUUUGUAGGUUGCACCGGCGAAGAAAGCUGGUCGACGGGUAGGUAGGCAGUGUGCCCAGGCUGCCGCUUUAUUUUUAAUGCGCGGGCCACAGCGGCCAGUAAACAGGAAAUUAACAGCAGGAAAAUAAAUCGGCCAGCAAACAGCCGGCGUCCUGCAUGGAGGCAUGCAUGCGCUGCAAGUCUGCAACCGGGCCCAGCGGAGGUGCAAAACUAAUGCAGCUAGCAUGCACCGUCUCCUGCCUUGGUCACUGGACUGCUGCUCCAUGCGUAUAAGAAACCAAAACGGAGGGAGUAAUAAUUAAACAGUAAGGAUGUCUCCAACAGCUUGAGAUAUCCGCUAGCUCAACGGGGAAAAAAGAGAGAAAAAAGUUGGCGUAGCAGGACAGCUCGAGGCUCGUGCAGUGAGAGGGGAGAGUAUCGGGAGACGUGCAAGUUUUUCCCAAAUGGGGCAAAAAAAAUGUUCCCAAAUUGUCAGGUUUUUUUCCCAAGAGGCCCAAAUUGUCGGUUGAGCGGCCUUCAUUGACGCGGAUGUCGUAGCACGAUAUCCUGUGGGGCCAGCCCAUCACUGUACUGGGCCGAGGGCUUGCUAGGGGCCUAGACUAGCACGAUAUCCUGUGGGGCCAGCCCAUCACUGUACUGGGCCGAGGGCCUGCUAGGGGCCUAGACUGUGGCCGCUGCCACGCAUCAUCCGGAAAACCUAUACAUCUUCUCGAGGCAUUGAACCUUAAAGUGUUUGAGAUUCGUGCAAGUACUUAGGUCCAUCGGAUCUAUAUCAACUCAAACACUAGCUCCCUUCCCUCCCUCCCCUGCCUGCGCGGCCGCCCCCGUGGGCCCUGUUGCCGCCGCCCUCCCCUCCCUCCCAUGCAUGCGCCGCGUCGGCGGCCGCCUACCCCUUCCUCCCCUGCUGCCACCGUCGUGGCCGGCCGGCGCGCCAGCUGGUGCUAGAGCCGGAGAAGAAGGUUGGAUUCAAUUUUUUUUUUCAAAAACUGCUGGUGCAACUUUUUUUAAAAAAAUGUUGGAUUCAACUUUUUCUAAAGAAAUGUUGAUUCAACUUUUUUGAGUAAAUGUUGGUUCAACUUUCCAAAGAAAUGUUGGUUGAACUUUUUGAAAAAAAAUGUUGGCCCAACUUUUUUGAAAAAAAUAUUGGAUAAUAUUUUUUAUCCAUAGUGAGCCAUCAUCAAAUGGGAGGGUUGGGGAAGAAGGCGAGGAAGAAGAAGAUAAGGUUGAGAUGGCCUUGGUGGGCUGGAAGUUUCAUCUCCUACACAUCAUUUACUCGCAGCUUUCGCCGCCAUGCGCCGCCGAGACAGAGGGAGAGGAGGCCACUGACGAUGAGGUCGGCCGUCGGCGGCAAGGGUGUGGCUGCGGCGGGUUCUGUUUUUACUCUCUAAUCUUGGGCGUCACUUCUUCUUUAACAUCCUUCUAUAACAUUACAUUAGUGACUCGUCUUCUUCUUUUUCCUCUCUAAUCUUGGGCAUCACUUCUCCUUCUUAAGUUUUCAUCUUUCCUUGCAACAUUAAGUUGGCAUCUUAAGCACGGCAUGAAAAUUGUUCCUGCAAACUAGGAAUGUUCGAAUAUUUUCAGUUAUUGAGAAGUGGCAGUUCAUUCAUCUGGAACCUUUCAAAGAAGAAGACAUUGUUGAAUUCCUUGUUCAGUAGCAUGCAAAUUAGAUAUAUCGCAUUAUGCUUUGUUCACCGGGUCUUGGAAGUAAUCCAACCACCCUCAAAUGAUGAUAGCUUUAUGCAUACUGGCCAAUUAUGUGCAGACACGUACUGAAGUGCAGAUUGUCACUUUGCUCUGAAGUCAAUACACAUUUUGGAAACGAAGUCAAGUCAAAAUAUAAUACUCAUUUAGUCAAAAAAAUUCCUCAUGUAUAUGCCAAUUUAUCCCCACCCUCAGUAUCAUUUUCUUAUGAUCUUGUCAAUCAUGUACAGAUAUAGUUCCUUUUUUGUUCCAGAUUGCAGCUUCAUUCAUCAAGCACGGUCCAUUUCAUUGACGGUAGUCCGUUGGACCGAAUUACAUGAUAGCAAAAAGAUAAAUAUUUUUAAAUUGUGUUUCAAGCUUUCACUUUCGUUCCCUGACCGCCUGUCGCUGUUAGUUAUCAAACUGACCCAACUUUCACGCGAUCUGACGCACCUCUUCCACUUUCUUCCAUGUAAUGUAUGAUGGCCUAGUUUAUUCAAGCCUAGUUUGACUUAAAUCAGACUUCCUGAUUAAAAGAAUCAUCUAACUACCGUUGGGAGAUGACGAGCGUUGGGAGAUGAUUAAAGGAGGAUGACGAGCGGCCGGAGACGGGGUUUCCGUCAAGUCAAGUCAAGUCAAAGAAACAAUUCUUUUAUGCAAAAGUUAAAUAAGAAACAAUCCGUCUUCUGGCCAACGUAACAGACGGGUUGCCCGACCAAAGUCAGUCGCCGGAGACGGGGUCCGACGGGUCUCAGACAGUCAGACUGUGGUUGCCCCGGCCGGAGAUGAGAUCCGACGGGGGCCUGUUGGGCAAUUCUUCUGGCCAACGUAACAGACUCUCAUGUUUCCGUCAAGUCAAACAAACAACCACUACCGAAACUGAAGAUUUGUCGAGUGCAAUAGUAUUUGCCGAGUGUAAUUCUUCGGGCACUCGACAAACAAGCUUUUUGCUGAGUGCUGCAAAACAAACACUCGGCAAAAUAAUUGCACUUGGCAAAGUCUUUGUUGAAUGCCCGACAAAAAUAAUUGCACUCGGAAUAAUUUCACUUUCGUUCCCUGACCGUCUGUCGCUGUUAGUUAUCAAACUAACCCAAUUUUCACGCGACCUGACGCACCUCUUCCACUUUCUUCCAUGUAAUGCAUGUUGGCUUAGUUUAUUCAAGCCUAGUUUAACUUAAAUCAUACUUCCUGAUUAAAAGAAUCCCAAAUCCAUACAACCUCUAACUACCGAAGUUGUCUAACUUGGACAUCGCUAUCUUCUCCUUAAGUUAUCAUCUUGGCUUGCAGUAUGAUUUACCAUUAUUCAAUCAAAGGAAGGUUCCUGCAGCUGCUAAGCUAACUCUUUUCUUCUUAUCCAAAAUUCAUGUAUCUAUCUCCCAUCUAGAUUGUUAUAUGUCGUACUUCCUGAAUAUGGAUGGAAGGGAUACUAUAUAUGCUUGAAUCCUAAUGGCACAGAUUGUCAGUUCCACAGUUGUCCAGUCCCGGCUGAGAUUGCUCAUGUAUUAUAUGAUGAUCUUUGCACUGAUGGAAAACGGGGCAUUAAUCCCGUUUGGUAGGGCUCAAAUCAACCAAAAAUCUUCCGGGAUAAAAUUUUCAAGACGAAGGGGAUUCUUUAGUCCCGGGUGAAUAACCUGGGACGACUAAAGACCCCCUUUAGUCCCGGUUGGUAAAAUCAACCAGGAUAAAAAUGUUUCAAAAAAAUUAAAAAAGGCCGCCCGCUGCCCGCCCGCAGACGCUCGCGCGAGGCAGCACUCGCAUACUUUUGUGUUCCUGCUUCACACUGGUCUGACACAUGAGUUCAUGUUGUCCCAUAAAGUUGCAGCUCUGGUUCAAGAUGCUGUCAAAAACCAUUUCGUAUUUGAAAGCUUUAGCUAAGAUGGUAGAUCCACAGGUUAGAUACUGUUCGUGAUUGAAAUUGGCAAACCUGGACAGACCUGUUUAGAUCGGUCUCCCAAACCGGUCAGACCGGUUUGGUCAAAGUGCUCAAAAUGCAAAUUGAACUUCACCGUUGCAUAGCUCUCAUCGAGUAGACCAAAAUACAUACGUAGAACAUCCGAUUGGAGUUCGGAUGAGAGAGUUAUGACCUUGGGAAGAUCUGCCCCUAAGCAGACAGGUUAGACCGAUUUAGGUCCGUAGAGUCUGAGUAGGAGUUGUAUUUUCUAACAAGAUUUAUAAGGGUUUCAACUCCAUUAGGCCCCUCCCUAUAAAUAUAAAGGUUCACGACCAAUUGAGGGUAUCCAAUCGAUCAAAAACACAUCUUUUAUCUUUUUUACCAUUUUCCUUUGCCCUAGCUUUUCCAAUCUACUAUUUGUUGUUCCUCCUUCAUCUCUAGGGUGUUCUAGGUGGCAUGCCGAUCCUAGAGCAAACCUGUGUGCGCUUGCCCCGACGGGAUCCUUCCCGGGCGAGUGUUUGUUGGUCGGUCGUCGGGUUGCCCCGGCGAACCGGUCUGACCGGUCUAUCGAACCGGUCUGACUGGCCUAUGCAGAGGUGCUGCAAGGUGCGCCCCUGCCCACUACACAUUCGAGUACGUUCAUGUGUUGGCCUGAUUUUAGCGCCAACAGAUACCAACCCGUAAUGACAGAGUAACAUCUGAAAUGGUUGGACUACAUGCAGUUUUGUGCUUGAGCUAAACAGGCACUCGCAAUGGUUGAAGCACAUCGCCGCCACGAACAGCGCUGGAUGCCGACGGAGGAGUGUCAGCUGGGUUGGGCCUUAUUGUACGAAAGUUAAUUCGAUUUGGCCUGGCCCAGCCCAUCAUCACACUUCCUGACAAGGUGACUCCGAGCCCCACAUGGCCCGCCGCCGGGGGUGGUGCAGAGUACGGCGGUGAUGGGGCCGGGGGCUCAUGGGAGGAGAGGGAAAGGCGUGGCGGAGGAUGAUGAGCUGCCGGAGACGGGUCUGAGGUGCCGCCUAUUCUGGCGACACGCAGGUGGGGUCAAGGUACGAUCGAUUUGCUUCCCCACCUAACAUGGCACUCGCUAGUCCCUAUUACUUCUGGCUUCCGCGUCUCUGCGUUGAGAGAGAUGAUUCGCAGGAGAAUAUGUGAUGGAUUUAUACUGUGAUGCUUGAAUAUAGCAGAAAUGGUUGCCAGUAUAACGCUAAAAUCUUACUCUUGCAGAUGUGAGAUCAAUCAUUCCUAUUUUUUUAAUGGCAAUACAACCUAGCAGUGUAUUUGCAAUUUAUCAUAUACAGCAGAUGUAAGCUCUGUUUCAUUGGUUUCAUUGGUUGUAUUAGUUACUCGUGUAAGUACCCAAUGAUCUUCAACCCGUGUUGUAAUACGUAAUUAUUUCCAUCUUUUUAAUACAAAGAUACGCAGCUCUCCUAGGUUCUUGAACAAAAAUAGUAAAACACGCAUAGUCGGUCAAACCAAAUUUUCCAAGAAAUGGUUAUGCUAUUCGUACGUCGCCACGAUCUUCUACUGCUUUAGACUAAAGAUGUGGCCAUAUUGGACCACGUUUGUUUUUGUCUCCGGUCAGACUAGCGUGCCAUGUACGUUUGGGAAAAAAAGGAGACUAGUACGCCAUGGAAAAAGUAGCAAAAGGUCAUCUUUGAAUAGACCCUUGUAUAGAGACCAAAUCUUCAACACCUCUCUCUAUCAGACCCCAGUUGCUGACUUGUCCUUUUCCUGCCCUCUCAAAGUCUUUAUAAACAUUGUAUUCUUAAGUUCUCAUCUUACCCUCCAAAAGUUCUCUAUACGAAGGAUAGCUGUGCACCACUUCCAUGUGAUUCAAUCAAAGGUGAGCCGUAAAUCUUUCCUUGUGAUCAAAAGUUCAUAUAUCUGUUGUCUCAUGUAUAGUAUUCUAUGUUGCAUUUCCCGAGCAGACUACAGGAGCUAUUGUUAAUUGAAUCGUAAUGGCGGAGAUGGUGAGUUCUGUGGUUGCCCAGGAAACAUUUAGCCAAAUCCUGUCUGGACUGGUUGACAGGUACAAGGAAAAGGAGGACUCAAGUGCAAACAGAAACUUGGAGAGGCUAGAGAUGGCACACAUCAGGCUGGAGGCUGCUCUUGAGACAUCUAAUAAGUGGCAGAUCACUGAUGCAUCCUUAUUGCGUUGGCGUAGGAAGCUGAAGCGUGCUGCUCAAGAGUGUGAUGACACACUGCACAAAUGCAAGCAGAGAAUCCUAGAACACGAACAAAUGGCACAGGAGGUAAACAAUUCCUCCCUUCCUAAUCGUAUUGUGCAUGCUACCAAGUCAUUUGCUCUCUCCAUAUUUAAACCCAAUAACAAUGACUUGAGAAGAUCCAUUGCUCAAAGAUUUGAGUGGUAUGCAGAUGGUGCUAGUGAGUUUCUGAGAUUCAUAGAGCUUGGUGGCACACCGCGCCAUCACAUGCUCUUUGAAUCUUUUGUCAAAAACCUUUUUGCCGGCAAGGAACUCCAUCAUAAAAUUGUUCGGGGAAACGAGUGUCCUUUGUUUCAAUUAUGGUUGAUUCCCAUCCGUAAUCCAGUGCAUGGAAUACAUAUUACCCUAACAUUCAUCCAGUAUGAUGGUACACCAGAGGGUAAUAUCAUCUUUAGUUUGGCCGUACAGCUCUCGGAAAGUAUAGACAUAGUUGGGAUCGCAGUUAAGUGCCUCCAGUUAUUUGCCCCUCAUUUCAAGUGUAAACUUGAAAAUAUUAGAAAUGAACUUACUCAACUGCCCAAUGAAGACUUCUCAUGGGAGCCCUCUUUUUAUUUGGACCAUAAAGAACAUUGGGACAAAUUCUAUAGCUUGCUCUCUCAGUUAAAUCGGCCAAACCCACUUUGUUGCAAGGAGCAGGACAGCAUCAGGUUCGACGUUUUAGCAACAUGGACAUGGCAGGAUUAUCAGAUGGUUUGCUAGAUCCAGUAAUUCAAGUUACUUUGCAUUGGUACGUCUCACUACCUAUGUACAGAAAAAAGAAGACCUCACUAUCUGAAGACCUAAUUUCUCUGCAAGAUUAUCCAUAUCUGAAAGCUGGGAUCGCCUUUUCGCCCCAUGGCUCUUUAGAGGACAUGCUGCCAGCGAAUAGGAGUUCUGAGAUAGCGGUGAUAGUCCGCAAGGAGCAACAUUUCUUGCAUUCAGACAUUGCCCUGGAACAGCUGGAAGAGAUUAUGCUGCCAAAGGCAAUAGAUUACUUCCACCAAAAUGCCGAAGCAAUGGUUUACCAAUUGCUUUGGAAGUCUAAACAUGGCUUUGCACGUAUUCAGGUUGACAAGCCAUGCAUGAGCGCAUGGAGAUCAAGAAUGAGAAGACGGAGCACUUCUGGGGGAGCUAGGAAAAGAAAGCUAUUUCAAGAAGAUGAUGAGGAGCUCAUUAGGCUUCGGAUCCGUGUUUGUCACUGGUUUGACUCAUGGCUUACACAUGAGCCUGUCCAGUUGCAAAGGUCGCUCAUGAAUUGGAUUCAGAAAGAAAAAGAAAGUUUGAUAGCAGCACCACAGUUACACCUGAAAUUCUAAAUCAUUUCAUUAAAGAAGAAGAGGGUAAAGAAAAACAAAAUCACAACAGCUCUG
This 24738-nucleotide long non-coding RNA is filed under the name Setaria italica (foxtail millet). RNAcentral's name for it is "long non-coding RNA (SITA_LNC000827)". The record is from RNAcentral. Lineage: Eukaryota; Viridiplantae; Streptophyta; Magnoliopsida; Poales; Poaceae.